GCCUCGGUGGUGUAGUGGAAAGCAUGGCAGACCGGAUAUCUGUAAGUGCGAGUUCGAGUCCCGCCUGAGGUU
RNAcentral lists this transfer RNA (72 nucleotides) under Dictyocaulus viviparus (bovine lungworm). It matches the Rfam family "tRNA". Rfam says of the family: Transfer RNA (tRNA) molecules are approximately 80 nucleotides in length. Their secondary structure includes four short double-helical elements and three loops (D, anti-codon, and T loops). Further hydrogen bonds mediate the characteristic L-shaped molecular structure. tRNAs have two regions of fundamental functional importance: the anti-codon, which is responsible for specific mRNA codon recognition, and the 3' end, to which the tRNAs corresponding amino acid is attached (by aminoacyl-tRNA synthetases). tRNAs cope with the degeneracy of the genetic code in two manners: having more than one tRNA (with a specific anti-codon) for a particular amino acid; and 'wobble' base-pairing, i.e. permitting non-standard base-pairing at the 3rd anti-codon position. Lineage: Eukaryota; Metazoa; Nematoda; Chromadorea; Rhabditida; Metastrongylidae. The record is from Rfam by way of RNAcentral.